This 510-nucleotide ribosomal RNA is filed under the name uncultured marine eukaryote. Its description in RNAcentral is "bacterial SSU rRNA". It matches the Rfam family "Eukaryotic small subunit ribosomal RNA", at positions 612 to 1113 of the family's 1831-position model. The record is from RNAcentral.
GUUGCAGUUAAAAAGCUCGUAGUUGGAUUUCUGGAUGGUAGGCUCGGUCGCUGCUUCCGCAGUGUACUAGUAGCUUUUACCGUCUCAUCUUUGUGGGAAUGUCUUCUGCUAUUAGGUUAGUGGGGGUAUGGACCCAGCAUCGUUUACUAGUGAAAAAAUAAUGAGUGUUUACAAGCAGUGCAAUCGCCUUGAAAUACAUCUAUGCAUGGAAUAAUAUGGAUAGGACUGUGGUACUAUUUUGUUGGUUUGCGUACUUCGGUAAUGAUUAAUAAGGAUAGUUGGGGGUAUUCAUAUUCAAUUGUCAGAGGUGAAAUUCUUAGAUUUAUGGAAGAUGAACUUCUGCGAAAGCAUUUACCAAGGAUGUUUUCAUUAAUCAAGAACGAAAGUUAGGGGAUCGAAGAUGAUUAGAUACCAUCGUAGUCUUAACCAUAAACUAUGCCGACUCGGGAUUGGUCAGCGUUGAUUUAAUGACCUGAUCAGCACCGUAUGAGAAAUCAAAGUCUUUGGGUU